Molecule: long non-coding RNA, 696 nt
Filed under: Trifolium pratense (red clover)
Lineage: Eukaryota; Viridiplantae; Streptophyta; Magnoliopsida; Fabales; Fabaceae
Description: long non-coding RNA (TPRA_LNC006678)
Source: RNAcentral
AACUCAGAAUAGUGAAGCAGAAGUAGGAUGCUCAUCCAAAUGCUUAUUAGGUCCUCUUGCUAAGACAGGUGAUCAUAAGACUCAAGCAACCAAACAUUGGUACCACUCGGCGAGAUACAAACCGCCGAUUAACAUUCCAAUUGAAGCAUGUUCCGCAAUGACCACCGCAAUGGAACUCAGUCUCGCCACGCCAGAACAUAAUUGUUUUUCUUGCUAGGCGACUACCGAUCCAGGUGUUAACAUUCUUUCCCUUUAACCUGCCAUUUAAUCAUAUAGUUUUCGCUUGUUCUAUUUCAAUAAACAUGCUAUUUGCGCACGCAUAUAUGUUGUCGGUAUUAACGUGAUGGAUUUAUAGUUUAAGAAUCAUGCUUUAUGGUCAUUGAGUAAAAGAGAAGAGAAUCAGUACAUUAUUUCAAGAUUGCUUACUAAAAGCAUCACCUUGGUUUGUUAUCGCUCUCAAAAUCAUUUUGAAUUACUCAAGUAGAAUUUGGUAGACACAUAAGAACACCUUUGCUUGCUUUCAUUAAUUUUAAAAUAAAAUUCAUAUUACAAACUUAUGAUUAACAGUUAAUAAAAUCGAUGAUAAGUUGGUAAUGAAUUAGAUAGCAAGUUGAAAUUUGGCCAAGAUAAUUAGUCACCUUUGAACAGACAAAAUACUCCAUAACCAAUCUCAAAGCUUGGAAUAAAGAUGUGCAC